RNAcentral lists this ribosomal RNA (616 nucleotides) under Oidium heveae. Its description in RNAcentral is "eukaryotic LSU rRNA". It matches the Rfam family "Eukaryotic large subunit ribosomal RNA", at positions 38 to 667 of the family's 3401-position model. The record is from RNAcentral. Lineage: Eukaryota; Fungi; Ascomycota; Leotiomycetes; Helotiales; Erysiphaceae.
GCAUAUCAAUAAGCGGAGGAAAAGAAACCACCCGGGAUUACCUCAGUAACGCAGAGUGAAGCGGUAACAGCUCAAAUUUGAAAUCUGGCUCUUGCGGAGUUCGAGUUGUAAUUUGUAGAAGAUGCUUUGGGUUGUGGGUUCGGCCUAAGUUCCUUGGAACAGGACGUCAUAGAGGGUGAGAAUCCCGUAUGUGGCCGAGGCCCGCGCCUAUGUAAAGCUCUUUCAACGAGUCGAGUUGUUUGGGAAUGCAGCUCAAAAUGGGUGGUAAAUUUCAUCUAAAGCUAAAUAUGGGCCAGAGACCGAUAGCGCACAAGUAGAGUGAUCGAAAGAUGAAAAGCACUUUGGAAAGAGAGUUAAACAGUACGUGAAGUUGUUGAAAGGGAAGCGCCUGCAACCAGACCUGGGCGCCGCCGAUCACCUUGAGUUUUCUCGAGUGCACUCGACAGCGCACAGGCCAGCAUCGGUUCGGGUGGCUGGAUAAAGGCCGUAGGAACGUGGCUCUCUUCGGGGAGUGUUAUAGCCUACGGUGCCAUGCAGCCCAGCCGGACCGAGGACCGCGCCUUCGGGCUAGGAUGCUGGCGUAAUGGUUGUAAGCGACCCGUCUGAAACACGGACC